RNAcentral lists this ribosomal RNA (253 nucleotides) under uncultured bacterium. RNAcentral's name for it is "partial 16S ribosomal RNA". It matches the Rfam family "Bacterial small subunit ribosomal RNA", at positions 524 to 776 of the family's 1533-position model. The record is from RNAcentral.
UACGUCGGGCGCAAGCGUUGUCCGGAAUUAUUGGGCGUAAAGAGCUCGUAGGUGGCGUGUCGCGUCUGCCGUGAAAGCCCAUGGCUUAACUGUGGGUCUGCGGUGGAUACGGGCAGGCUAGAGGCUGGUAGGGGCAAGCGGAAUUCCUGGUGUAGCGGUGAAAUGCGCAGAUAUCAGGAGGAACACCGGUGGCGAAGGCGGCUUGCUGGGCCAGUUCUGACGCUGAGGAGCGAAAGCGUGGGGAGCGAACAGG